RNAcentral lists this ribosomal RNA (415 nucleotides) under uncultured prokaryote. Its description in RNAcentral is "bacterial SSU rRNA". It matches the Rfam family "Bacterial small subunit ribosomal RNA", at positions 505 to 918 of the family's 1533-position model. The record is from RNAcentral.
GUGUCAGCCGCCGCGGUAAUACGGAGGGCGCAAGCGUUGUUCGGAAUUACUGGGCGUAAAGCGCGUGUAGGCGGUUCGGUAAGUCGGAUGUGAAAUCCCGGGGCCCAACCCCGGAACUGCAUUCGAUACUGCCGAGCUAGAGUCCCGGAGAGGGUGGCGGAAUUCCCAGUGUAGAGGUGAAAUUCGUAGAUAUUGGGAGGAACACCGGUGGCGAAGGCGGCCACCUGGACGGUGACUGACGCUGAGACGCGAAAGCGUGGGGAGCAAACAGGAUUAGAUACCCUGGUAGUCCACGCCGUAAACGGUGGGUGCUAGACGUCGGGGGUAUUGACCCCCCCGGUGUCGCAGCUAACGCAUUAAGCACCCCGCCUGGGGAGUACGGCCGCAAGGCUAAAACUUAAAUGAAUUGACGGGG